AUGCUCGCUUUGGCAGCACAUAUGCUAAAAUUGGAAUGAUACAGAGAAGAUUAGCAUGGCCCCUGCACAAGGAUGACACGCAAAUUUGUGUAAGCAUUCCAUAUUUAA
This 108-nucleotide small nuclear RNA is filed under the name Peromyscus maniculatus bairdii (prairie deer mouse). Lineage: Eukaryota; Metazoa; Chordata; Mammalia; Rodentia; Cricetidae. The record is from RNAcentral.